UGUUGUGUACAAUGAAUAGUUUUAUUAUAAAGGAUAAAAUUAUUGUUUGUGUUUAGACAAAAAGGAAGGAGGUGAAAUUACUCAAAAUAAGCCUUUUCUUUUGUCUUCCCCAAUUUCUGCAGCCCCUCACCCAUGGACAAAAGCUCAGCACGAGAGUUUAGGCACAUGCGGUCCCGAGGAAUCAAAAAACGCAGCAGUAGACUGCCAUCAGGAGUGUGAAUUCAUUUGACUCAGACCUGUGCAGAUUUACAGAACAAAAAUUCUCAAAAUAUUAUUCAUGAAAAUAAACAAUGAAGUUUGCUGCAUCUGUUCUUGUCAAACCCCUCCUUAAUAGCAUUUCUCUGAAAUCACACAUGAUUCACUGCCUUCAUGACUGACCCAGGAUAAAAUGACAACCUUAAAAUAUAUUCUGACCAAUUCGUAUCAAAUUACACAACCAGCACAGAGAAAGACGGUAGGCUACACACAUAUACUUCGUGUAAAUUAUCAACCAAGGCAUUAAUCUCAGUUGUGCUGCUGCUGCCACCUGGCUGAAGAGAAAGAUGGCAUCACAACAAACAACAGAUAGAGAAAAAUGAAUUGGCAGCAGAGUGUUUGGCAAACUGAAAAUGACCUAUAUUAGGGGUAUAACAACAGAGAGCCAGUGAAAUAAGGAUCUGGGAAGGAAUAGAGCGACGAGGAUGCCUGCAGUGGGUGGGGAGAGGAAACAAAAGCGCCAUUUUGAUGAGAGAUUAGUUUGAUUAGUCCACAGCUGUGGCCAUUGAGAGAAACUGAAGGAAUGAUGAGGAAACCGAUGCAUUAAUAACACAGCUGUUGUGUAAAAAUUCAGGCUCUGGUUUUCAACCUUUUUGUCUUCAAGACCUCCAUUGUCCACAACAAUAUUUAAAGUCCGACAUUUUCAGUGUGGUUAUUAUUCUUCAUCAAAAUUUCUGUUCCAGCUUUACCAAAGCGACAUGCCCUCUUGAGUCCACAAAUCUCAUUCUUCACAGCCGGGGUUGUAAGACACAUUCAGAGCACAGAAUGAGAGGCCCAGCUGGGCUUGACAUUGAAAAUAUGUGUCUGUGUGUGGGGGGAGAGAAUUACUGUAUAUUUUCAUCUGGGAAGAGGACACCUGUUCGGGAAUGAGGAAGAGAAAGGGGGGCAGUAUUAAUGGGCACUGACAAGCUGGAACCUUCCAGCACUGUAUGCAGCAAAAAAGUAACAGGGAAAGCCUAUACCUGAAGACUGGAUCCUGUCUCAAACAUCCAUGGUUUCACCGGACUUUGUAUUAUCAAAACAUGUUAACUCUACUGUGACGCAGUUUGUUUAGCUAAUUCAGUGUACAAGAGAUUUGAUCAAACUGGUGGUGUGCACAAAAUUGAAGCAGUAUCACAUAAGCAAAUAUCCACCUUGUGUGGGAUAUAAUUAUUUUAUUUAUAUAUAGGCCAACAUGUAGACCCUUUAUUUGGCUUUAUUAAUACAGUUCUAUCAACACUUAUGGCGAGUUAUUUUAAAAUAUGCAGUUAUUUUCCGCCAAUAAAAAUUGUCCCUAAGAA
Molecule: long non-coding RNA, 1535 nt
Organism: Megalobrama amblycephala (Wuchang bream)
Lineage: Eukaryota; Metazoa; Chordata; Actinopteri; Cypriniformes; Xenocyprididae
Exons: 3
Source: RefSeq, a predicted model, not a curated record